Molecule: ribosomal RNA, 253 nt
Filed under: uncultured bacterium
Lineage: Bacteria
Description: partial 16S ribosomal RNA
Rfam family: Bacterial small subunit ribosomal RNA
Source: RNAcentral
UACGUAGGGUGCGAGCGUUGUCCGGAAUUAUUGGGCGUAAAGCGCACGUAGGCGGACUAUUAAGUCAGGGGUGAAAUCCCGGGGCUCAACCCCGGAACUGCCUUUGAUACUGGUAGUCUCGAGUCCGGAAGAGGUGAGUGGAAUUCCGAGUGUAGAGGUGAAAUUCGUAGAUAUUCGGAGGAACACCAGUGGCGAAGGCGGCUCACUGGUCCGGUACUGACGCUGAGGUGCGAAAGCGUGGGGAGCAAACAGG